Molecule: long non-coding RNA, 627 nt
Organism: Salvelinus sp. IW2-2015
Lineage: Eukaryota; Metazoa; Chordata; Actinopteri; Salmoniformes; Salmonidae
Exons: 3
Source: RefSeq, a predicted model, not a curated record
GGGAAGGCUCACUACAACCUGGCUUUUCUGCUGCAAAGGAACAUAUGGAUGAAACCCAACAGUUCUGUUCCACUAUAGACUGUAUGACAGGAGAAACCUCCGAGCUUGAGUCAACACUGUCCCGCUCAAACUUUGUGAGGCAAGAUCCUUUGGGAUCAUCUCUGCGUCUUUUAUUAGAUCUGGCAUGGACCUCACCUUGGUUUUAACAAGAGCAUUAUGCUUUUGCAGUGCUAGCAAACCACAUGACAUCAGAGGAGACAGCAGCAGAAUCUGGGUCCAAAGUGUCUUUGAGUAAUGUGAGUUAUGAAAAGCUAUAGAAAACAUUCAAGCAGUGGUUACUUAGCCUACAGUACUUUUGUUAUUUUGACCGCUGUAUGUUUUAGGUACCAGUCAUAUACAUUGAUAAUGCAGAAGAAAUCACGUCAGAAUCCUCUACACAUGAGGGUCCAGGCAUAAACGAGAACCUGCCUGAGGCCACAGCAUCCACUUCCAAAACAUGGGACAGAGGGUGACAAACAAAGAAAGCCCUCAAAUGUCAAUAUGAAGGACUUGUAUAUUAAAUACUUGCAACAGGAGAUCAACUACAGGAAAUUCAAGACGCAAAAGAUUACCUUGGAGAUUAAAUUA